This 476-nucleotide ribosomal RNA is filed under the name uncultured bacterium. RNAcentral describes it as "SSU rRNA". It matches the Rfam family "Bacterial small subunit ribosomal RNA", at positions 26 to 518 of the family's 1533-position model. The record is from RNAcentral.
AGGAUGAACGCUGGCGGCGUGCUUAACACAUGCAAGUCGAACGGAGGGUAGAUUUCGGUUUACCUUCAGUGGCGCACGGGUGAGUAACACGUAGCUGACCUGCCCUCGAGAGUGGGAUAACGGUUCGAAAGGACUGCUAAUACCGCAUAAGCUCACGAUCUUUAGAGGAUCGAGAGAAAAGGCGAAAGCCGCUGGAGGAGGGGGCUGCGGACCAUCAGCUAGUUGGUGGGGUAAUGGCCUACCAAGGCGACGACGGAUAGGGGGCCUGAGAGGGUGGUCCCCCACACUGGGACUGAGACACGGCCCAGACUCCUACGGGAGGCAGCAGUGAGGAAUAUUGCGCAAUGGGCGAAAGCCUGACGCAGCGACGCCGCGUGGGUGAGGAAGGCCUUCGGGUCGUAAAGCCCUUUUUCUGCGUGACGAGAGAGGACGGUAGCGCAGGAACAAGUCUCGGCUAACUACGUGCCAGCAGCCGC